This 310-nucleotide ribosomal RNA is filed under the name uncultured eukaryote. Its description in RNAcentral is "partial 18S ribosomal RNA". It matches the Rfam family "Eukaryotic small subunit ribosomal RNA", at positions 1470 to 1796 of the family's 1831-position model. The record is from RNAcentral.
CCCUUAGAUGUUCUGGGCUGUACGCGUGCUACACUGAUUACUUCAACAAGUGUUUUAACUGGAGAGUUUGCGUAAUCCUGAAAUGUUAUCGUGAUGGGAGUAGAGUAUUGUAUUUGUUAAUCUUUAACGAGGAAUUCCUAGUAAGUGUAGGUUUAUAAGUUGUUCUGAUUACGUCCCUGCCCUUUGUACACACCGCCCGUCGCUCCUACCGAUUGAUUGAUCCGGUGAAUUACAUAGAAUUUUGCGUUUUACAUGACGGAAGAUGAAGUGUUUUAAACCUUAUCAUUUAGAGGAAGGAGAAGUCGUAACA